CGCACAUUGCGCCCCUUGGUAUUCCGGGGGGCAUGCCCGUUCGAGCGUCAUUUCACCAAUCCAGCCCGGCUGGGUAUUGGAUCCCGGGGGUGACCCGGGUCCCAAAGUCGUCGGCCGUGACGGUCCUGAAUCGCAGCGUCGUGAUUAACCAAUUCGCUGGCGAAGACGGGCGUCCCGCGCCGGAACACUUCUUUUAAAGGUUGACCUCGGAUCGGGUAGGGAUACCCGCUGAACUUAA
Molecule: unclassified non-coding RNA, 238 nt
Filed under: Capnodiales sp.
Lineage: Eukaryota; Fungi; Ascomycota; Dothideomycetes; Capnodiales
Description: partial contains 5.8S ribosomal RNA, internal transcribed spacer 2, and large subunit ribosomal RNA
Source: RNAcentral